This 482-nucleotide ribosomal RNA is filed under the name uncultured bacterium. Its description in RNAcentral is "bacterial SSU rRNA". It matches the Rfam family "Bacterial small subunit ribosomal RNA", at positions 32 to 524 of the family's 1533-position model. The record is from RNAcentral.
AAUCAACGCUGGCGGCGUGCCUCAGACAUGCAAGUCGAACGAUUAAAGCUCUCUUCGGAGAGUGCAUAGAGUGGCGCACGGGUGAGUAACACGUAAGUAAUCUACCUUCGAGUGGGGGAAUAACGUCCGGAAACGGACGCUAAUACCGCAUAAUGCAGCGGCAUCGUAAGAUGACAGUUGUUAAAGAUUUAUCGCUUGAAGAGGAGCUUGCGGCAGAUUAGCUAGUUGGUAAGGUAAUGGCUUACCAAGGCUACGAUCUGUAACCGGUCUUAGAGGACGGUCGGUCACACUGACACUGAAUAACGGGUCAGACUCCUACGGAGGCAGCAGUCGGGAAUUUUGGGCAAUGGGCGAAAGCCUGACCCAGCAACGCCGCGUGAAGGAUGAAGUAUUUCGGUAUGUAAACUUCGAAAGAAUAGGAAGAAUAAAUGACGGUACUAUUUAUAAGGUCCGGCUAACUACGUGCCAGCAGCCGCGGUAAU